RNAcentral lists this ribosomal RNA (357 nucleotides) under Triticum aestivum (bread wheat). RNAcentral describes it as "partial small subunit ribosomal RNA". The record is from RNAcentral. Lineage: Eukaryota; Viridiplantae; Streptophyta; Magnoliopsida; Poales; Poaceae.
AUGCUUGGGGAGGUGAUCUGCUGCAGGCGGCAGCGGCGAUCUACUGGAAGCCCGCCCGCCAUGCCUCAAAGCCCCGGCGGCGACCAACGAUUCAAAUUUCGCUGUGUUUUGCUUUGUAUUUUGGAACAGGAUAAACAUGUCAUUUUGCUGGUUUUUGGAGCUGGUCAGAAAAAGCUAAAACAGCAUAACACGAAACAGAGGGAGUAUUAUAUAUAUAACUAUAAUAAAGGACGGGUGAUAAGACUUGUGGACACCUUACAAAUGAUUUUUUUUAGUUUAUUUCCAGAAGGAAGUAGAAUUCAUGAUGAAAAGACACAUGGCCAAAAAGACAGUCAAAACUAUGAGCGAGCCAGAUAG